Podarcis lilfordi (Lilford's wall lizard) is the source of this 478-nucleotide non-coding RNA. The record is from the annotation of a GenBank genome assembly. Lineage: Eukaryota; Metazoa; Chordata; Lepidosauria; Squamata; Lacertidae.
CUUUUAUCCCUGCUCAGGAAUGGCAGGAAAGGGAAGGGUGUGCGUUACAACUGCCCGGCCUGUCCACAGCCACCUCUUCCAGAUCCCAGGUUAAAAUAGUUAUUAGGGCAGGAAUUUAAGGCACAUGUUUGUAAGGUACACUGCAAACCUUGGAGCCAUUAAGCUGGUUUUUAAAAGCAAGGUGUUUAUAUUUCUUGCUUUCCUAGUUGCAGUUAUCACCUAAGAAGCGUCACAGUCAUUGUAAUGGAAAGAUACCCGCUGGCCUCCAGUUCAUCAAAGGCCUUCCACCCAUGGAAAGUGGUUUCUACGCACAGAGUGAUGCUCCUUUCGGAUUCAAGACUACUCAUAUAAAAGGGUGCUGUGCAAUAUAUAUAUAUCCUUGGGGAAGGCACAUGAUCCUCCAGUUCCACACAUAUAUCACAAAACAGAUGGCACCUGUUUCCUUCUCCCUGAACAGGUGAUCGUUGCUGACAAUGCC